Orcinus orca (killer whale) is the source of this 365-nucleotide long non-coding RNA. RefSeq lists it as uncharacterized. The transcript has 2 exons. NCBI's taxonomy places the organism in Eukaryota, Metazoa, Chordata, Mammalia, Artiodactyla, Delphinidae. The record is from RefSeq and is a predicted model, not a curated record.
ACUCGAGGGACAUUGUUCCAGCUAAUGAUUAAGAACUCUCCAGACAAUAGGGGCUUCUUAGACAAUGGGUGAAUUUCCAGGAUGUCCGGCCCCCUUCCGAGAAGGAGGGAGAUAACAAAAUGUAAAAAAGGUGUCUGUCAAAGACCAAUCAGGCAGCUGGGGACAAGUUCCCUCUCUGGUCCGAGCCUAAGCCGGGACCAAUCAGCAGGAGAACACAACCAAAUCUAUAAUUUACAUACGGGGAAGUGGGAACCUAUAAAACUGACAUAUUCGCGCCCAAAAGGGUUCCUUCUUCGACCUCCUGCGUGAGGACCAAGGAACCCCGGUGCACCGGCCUUCAAUAAACCUCUUGCGUUUUGCAUCGA